RNAcentral lists this ribosomal RNA (236 nucleotides) under uncultured Staphylococcus sp. RNAcentral's name for it is "partial 16S ribosomal RNA". It matches the Rfam family "Bacterial small subunit ribosomal RNA", at positions 104 to 334 of the family's 1533-position model. Lineage: Bacteria; Bacillati; Bacillota; Bacilli; Caryophanales; Staphylococcaceae. The record is from RNAcentral.
GGGUGAGUAACACGUGGAUAACCUACCUAUAAGACUGGGAUAACUUCAGGAAACCGGAGCUAAUACCGGAUAAUAUUUUGAACCGCAUGGUUCAAAAGUGAAAGACGGUCUUGCUGUCACUUAUAGAUGGAUCCGCGCUGCAUUAGCUAGUUGGUAAGGUAACGGCUUACCAAGGUAACGAUGCAUAGCCGACCUGAGAGGGUGAUCGGCCACACUGGAACUGAGACACGGUCCAG